GAUCAUGGCUCAGAGUGAACGCUGGCGGCAGGCCUAAUACAUGCAAGUCGAACGGCAGCACAGCAGAGCUUGCUCUGUGGGUGGCGAGUGGCGGACGGGUGAGGAAUACAUGGGAAUCUGCCCAGUCGUGGGGAUAACGUAGGGAAACUUACGCUAAUACCGCAUGCGCCCUUCGGGGGAAAGCCGGGGACCUUCGGGCCUGGCGCGAUUGGAUGAGCCCAUGUCGGAUUAGCUAGUUGGCGGGGUAAUGGCCCACCAAGGCGACGAUCCGUAGCUGGUCUGAGAGGAUGAUCAGCCACACUGGAACUGAGACACGGUCCAGACUCCUACGGGAGGCAGCAGUAGGGAAUAUUGGACAAUGGGCGCAAGCCUGAUCCAGCCAUGCCGCGUGAGUGAAGAAGGCCCUCGGGUUGUAAAGCUCUUUUGUCCGGAAAGAAAAGCGCCGGGUUAAUACCCUAGUGUCCUGACGGUACCGGAAGAAUAAGCACCGGCUAACUUCGUG
Molecule: ribosomal RNA, 502 nt
Filed under: uncultured bacterium
Lineage: Bacteria
Description: bacterial SSU rRNA
Rfam family: Bacterial small subunit ribosomal RNA
Source: RNAcentral